This is a long non-coding RNA of Fukomys damarensis (Damara mole-rat), 1077 nucleotides long. RefSeq lists it as uncharacterized. The record is from RefSeq and is a predicted model, not a curated record. The transcript has 6 exons. NCBI's taxonomy places the organism in Eukaryota, Metazoa, Chordata, Mammalia, Rodentia, Bathyergidae.
CUGCAAAAAAGAAAGAAAGAAAGAAAUGAAAUCCAGGUGGCAUGUGGGUGAAGGCGCCCUUCACGGAGACCAGGGGCAGCUACUGCUUCUACUAGCAGCAGGGACAGUGGCUCUUGACAGGCAGCAGCUGUGCUGAGAGCUCUCACCUGUCUAACGAAGCAGAAAAAUCAAUGAGAGGCCGUGGGGCCUCGCUGCACUCACUGCACUGAGCACCAGGAAUGUGCGGGCCGAGUGGCCAUCUGGAGCAGCUCCUGCUGCCUUGUUAAGUCCCAGGAGCCAGGCUGGGGAGAGACACAGGGCCGGAGUGGCCCCCUCUGUGGCGGCCCUCUCUUCCUGUCUUCCUUUCCAGGCCUUUCAGAACAUGGACCCCGCUCCUCCUGCUGCCCACGCCGGGAGAGACGCUCGCUGCAUCACCAAGGGGCUGUGCUGCACCUGUGAUCCAGGCAGGGGAGCCCUGGGUUUGGGAGCCAGGCAGAAGUGGGUUGAAACUGCGUAUGACUCUGGGGUCUUGCUUAGUUGCCUAGCCUAGGCUUGAACUUGCAAUCCUCCAGCCAUGUUCUCGGAGUAGCUUGGAAUACAGGCUUUUCAAGUCACUAUGCAAUGAUUAUCGAUACGCCAAGGACAGUAACAGUCAGAUACUGGAGAAAAGGAGAUAUGAGAAACAUCUUUUAUUUUUUCUAAAGAGGUGAAAAUAAGAAACACAGGACGAAAUGAUGCCUUCUGACUACAACUGUUUCCUGAUGGUUGAGCAACAGUCUCCCUCUGCUUCACUUGAAAGUACUCUCUUUAAUUUGCUGAAGAAUGGUGUAUUAACAGGAAAGCAGGACCAGAAAUGCCGAAGUAGUUCUCCAACAGCCACAUACAAGUGUUUCAAUUCAGACUGAAUAUCAUUUGGCACCAUCUCUGCAGAAGAAGGAAGAGGCCACAGGAACUCUACAAGGUCACAUACCAGAAAUGCUGCAGAAAUGCCAACAUCCUGCUUGUGAUUGGAUGUGGAAGAACUACCCGCUGCAUUCACAGUUAAACGAUUGGCCCAGAACUCCUCAGCACUUAUCACCUGACUCACAACAAGGUCUU